AAUCAUUCUUACUCACUUUGCAGCAAUUCAAAGUUAUAAAAUCAGUUCUGACUCUUAGUAUAUGAGAAAUUUGCAAGCACAAACCAUAUUACUUAAUCAUAUUACUUACCAUGGUUCGUUUUCUAUUGGGAAACCUUACACCUAAGAUCCUUGUUCAAUCACUGAAUUCCAUGCCUCGCCUAGCUGCAUCCCUCAAAAUGGUGAGACGUGGAGGAGCAAGAGGAUCAAAUCACAGCCAUGGAGGCGGUGGAGAGAGAGGGUCAGAAGACCUCAGCGAUGGGAAGGGAGGAGAACAUAAUAAGGUGGUGCUGAAGAAUUCAGAAUGAUGUAUAACAGUUAGCAAUUUAGCAAGCUGCUUUAAAAGACUAGUGAUUUUGAGUGUUCCUAAUUAUCAGUGAUUGUAUGAGUGAUUUGGUAGCACAAUUCAGUAGUUUUGUUUUGUGAUUCAUAGCGUGAAAGUAUUAAAAUUAUUAACUAUUACAUUACUUGA
Molecule: long non-coding RNA, 490 nt
Organism: Cajanus cajan (pigeon pea)
Lineage: Eukaryota; Viridiplantae; Streptophyta; Magnoliopsida; Fabales; Fabaceae
Source: RefSeq, a predicted model, not a curated record